Molecule: ribosomal RNA, 579 nt
Filed under: uncultured bacterium
Lineage: Bacteria
Description: partial 16S ribosomal RNA
Rfam family: Bacterial small subunit ribosomal RNA
Source: RNAcentral
UGGGGAAUUUUGGACAAUGGGCGAAAGCCUGAUCCAGCAAUGCCGCGUGUGUGAAGAAGGCCUUCGGGUUGUAAAGCACUUUUGUCCGGAAAGAAAUCCUUGGCUCUAAUACAGUCGGGGGAUGACGGUACCGGAAGAAUAAGCACCGGCUAACUACGUGCCAGCAGCCGCGGUAAUACGUAGGGUGCAAGCGUUAAUCGGAAUUACUGGGCGUAAAGCGUGCGCAGGCGGUUUGCUAAGACCGAUGUGAAAUCCCCGGGCUCAACCUGGGAACUGCAUUGGUGACUGGCAGGCUAGAGUAUGGCAGAGGGGGGUAGAAUUCCACGUGUAGCAGUGAAAUGCGUAGAGAUGUGGAGGAAUACCGAUGGCGAAGGCAGCCCCCUGGGCCAAUACUGACGCUCAUGCACGAAAGCGUGGGGAGCAAACAGGAUUAGAUACCCUGGUAGUCCACGCCCUAAACGAUGUCAACUAGUUGUUGGGGAUUCAUUUCCUUAGUAACGUAGCUAACGCGUGAAGUUGACCGCCUGGGGAGUACGGUCGCAAGAUUAAAACUCAAAUGAAUUGACGGGGUCAUAGCUG